CGCGUAGGCGGGCCUUCAAGUCGGUUGUGAAAACCUGAGGCUUAACUUCAGGCCUGCAUCCGAUACUGUUGGUCUUGAGUGCGGGAGAGGAAAGCGGAAUUCCAGGUGUAGCGGUGAAAUGCGUAGAUAUCUGGAAGAACACCAGUAGCGAAGGCGGCUUUCUGGCCCGACACUGACGCUGAAGCGCGAAGGCUUGGGGAGCAAACA
This 207-nucleotide ribosomal RNA is filed under the name uncultured bacterium. Its description in RNAcentral is "partial 16S ribosomal RNA". It matches the Rfam family "Bacterial small subunit ribosomal RNA", at positions 568 to 774 of the family's 1533-position model. The record is from RNAcentral.